Molecule: ribosomal RNA, 184 nt
Filed under: uncultured bacterium
Lineage: Bacteria
Description: partial 16S ribosomal RNA
Rfam family: Bacterial small subunit ribosomal RNA
Source: RNAcentral
AAGGGAAUCUUCGGCAAUGGACGAAAGUCUGACCGAGCAACGCCGCGUGAGUGAAGAAGGUUUUCGGAUCGUAAAACUCUGUUGUUAGAGAAGAACAAGGACGUUAGGUAACUGAACGUCCCCUGACGGUAUCUAACCAGAAAGCCACGGCUAACUACGGGCCAGCAGCCGCGGUAAUACAAAA